UGCAAGUCGAGGGGUAACGGGGAAGCUUGCUUCCGCCGACGUCCGGCGCACGGGUGCGUAACGCGUAUACAAUCUACCUUGUACUGGGGUAUAGCCUUUAGAAAUGAAGAUUAAUCCCCCAUAGUCUCUUAGAGUGGCAUCACUUCUAGAGUAAAGGUUACGGUAUAAGAUGAGUAUGCGUUCUAUUAGUUUGUUGGUGUGGUAACGGCACACCAAGACUACGAUAGAUAGGGGCCCUGAGAGGGGGAUCCCCCACACUGGUACUGAGACACGGACCAGACUCCUACGGGAGGCAGCAGUGAGGAAUAUUGGACAAUGGAGGCAACUCUGAUCCAGCCAUGCCGCGUGCAGGAAGACUGCCCUAAGGGUUGUAAACUGCUUUUAUACAGGAAGAAACACCUCUACGUGUAGAGGCUUGACGGUACUGUAAGAAUAAGGAUCGGCUAACUCCGUGCCAGCAGCCGCGGUAAUACGGAGGAUCCAAGCGUUAUCCGGAAUCAUUGGGUUUAAAGGGUCCGUAGGUGGAUAACUAAGUCAGAGGUGAAAUCUUGCAGCUCAACUGUAAAAUUGCCUUUGAAACUGGUUAUCUUGAGUUAUUAUGAAGUAGUUAGAAUAUGUAGUGUAGCGGUGAAAUGCAUAGAUAUUACAUAGAAUACCAAUUGCGAAGGCAGAUUUCUAAUAAUUAACUGACACUGAUGGACGAAAGCGUGGGUAGCGAACAGGAUUAGAUACCCUGGUAGUCCACGCCGUAAACGAUGGUUACUAGCUGUUUGGACUUCGGUCUGAGUGGCUAAGCGAAAGUGAUAAGUAACCCACCUGGGGAGUACGUUCGCAAGAAUGAAACUCAAAGG
Molecule: ribosomal RNA, 851 nt
Filed under: uncultured marine bacterium
Lineage: Bacteria
Description: bacterial SSU rRNA
Rfam family: Bacterial small subunit ribosomal RNA
Source: RNAcentral